GACGAACGCUGGCGGCGUGCUUAACACAUGCAAGUCGAACGGAAAGGCCCUGCUUUUGUGGGGUGCUCGAGUGGCGAACGGGUGAGUAACACGUGAGUAACCUGCCCUUGACUUUGGGAUAACUUCAGGAAACUGGGGCUAAUACCGGAUAGGAGCUCCUGCUGCAUGGUGGGGGUUGGAAAGUUUCGGCGGUUGGGGUGGGACUCGCGGCUUAUCAGCUUGUUGGUGGGGUAGUGGCUUACCAAGGCUUUGACGGGUAGCCGGCCUGAGAGGGUGACCGGCCACAUUGGGACUGAGAUACGGCCCAGACUCCUACGGGAGGCAGCAGUGGGGAAUAUUGCACAAUGGGCGGAAGCCUGAUGCAGCAACGCCGCGUGCGGGAUGACGGCCUUCGGGUUGUAAACCGCUUUCGCCUGUGACGAAGCGUGAGUGACGGUAAUGGGUAAAGAAGCACCGGCUAACUACGUG
Molecule: ribosomal RNA, 468 nt
Filed under: uncultured bacterium
Lineage: Bacteria
Description: partial 16S ribosomal RNA
Rfam family: Bacterial small subunit ribosomal RNA
Source: RNAcentral